RNAcentral lists this ribosomal RNA (340 nucleotides) under uncultured Actinomycetes bacterium. RNAcentral describes it as "bacterial SSU rRNA". It matches the Rfam family "Bacterial small subunit ribosomal RNA", at positions 1056 to 1393 of the family's 1533-position model. Lineage: Bacteria; Bacillati; Actinomycetota; Actinomycetes. The record is from RNAcentral.
CAGCUCGUGUCGUGAGAUGUUGGGUUAAGUCCCGCAACGAGCGCAACCCUUGUCUCAUGUUGCCAGCGGGUAAUGCCGGGGACUCGUGAGAGACUGCCGGGGUCAACUCGGAGGAAGGUGGGGAUGACGUCAAGUCAUCAUGCCCCUUAUGUCCAGGGCUUCACACAUGCUACAAUGGCCGGUACAAAGGGCUGCGAAGCCGUGAGGUGGAGCGAAUCCCUGCAAAGCCGGUCUCAGUUCGGAUCGGGGUCUGCAACUCGACCCCGUGAAGUCGGAGUCGCUAGUAAUCGCAAAUCAGCAACGCUGCGGUGAAUACGUUCCCGGGCCUUGGACACACCGA